GUUGGCUGUCUAAUCAUUAUAAUGAUUUAUAUUUAGUCUCGAUACAUAUUUUGUUUGUUGAAUUGUUCUUGGCUUUGAACCAGCUGUCAGUAAUUGUGAGAACUGUCUUUUGUGUUAAAUGUAUUUCUAUUUAGAUCCAUCUGAUGAGUCAAUCCUUUUUCAACUGAUUUUUUUAGUUUAUUCUUAUGAUUGUUGUACUGUUUACAACUGUCCAUGGUUUUAGGAAGGGUUUAAUUGCUUACAAACAUGUUUUACCCAGAAACAUUCUUGGAGUCUUUUCUUAGUCUGGAGCCUGUAGCUCAGUGGUUGUCAUUUGUUCACAUGUCAUAUCUGUUUUGUUGAAAUUGUUUUUUUUAUAAAUAAGGCCAUUAGUUGUUUGAUAUUUUUCAUGUCAGGGCCUUGUAAAGCCAACCAUAUGGUAUGGGUUUUCUCAUUGUUAAGGCUAUAUGUUUGCCUAUAUAAAUUGCUUGCAUCAACUUCAUAUGAACUUU
This 491-nucleotide long non-coding RNA is filed under the name Mytilus galloprovincialis (Mediterranean mussel). The record is from RNAcentral. Lineage: Eukaryota; Metazoa; Mollusca; Bivalvia; Mytilida; Mytilidae.